CCUACGGGAGGCAGCAGUAGGGAAUAUUGCUCAAUGGGGGAAACCCUGAAGCAGCAACGCCGCGUGGAGGAUGAAGGUUUUCGGAUUGUAAACUCCUUUUGUUAGAGAAGAUAAUGACGGUAUCUAACGAAUAAGCACCGGCUAACUCCGUGCCAGCAGCCGCGGUAAUACGGAGGGUGCAAGCGUUACUCGGAAUCACUGGACGUAAAGCGCGCGUAGGCGGGAUAGCAAGUCAGAUGUGAAAUCCUAUGGCUUAACCAUAGAACUGCAUUUGAAACUGUUAUUCUAGAGUAUGGGAGAGGUAGGUGGAAUUCUUGGUGUAGGGGUAAAAUCCGUAGAGAUCAAGAGGAAUACUCAUUGCGAAGGCGACCUGCUAGAACAUAACUGACGCUGAUGCGCGAAAGCGUGGGGAGCAAACAGGAUUAGAUACCCCAGUAGUC
This 440-nucleotide ribosomal RNA is filed under the name uncultured bacterium. RNAcentral describes it as "partial 16S ribosomal RNA". It matches the Rfam family "Bacterial small subunit ribosomal RNA", at positions 338 to 795 of the family's 1533-position model. The record is from RNAcentral.